UCCCCAACACAUAGGAAAAUAAACCUUGAAAAAUAAGAAAAUCUUUCCCUUUCCUCCCGGGGCAUUUACAUUUUCCACUGACCCACGUCGGAGCGGACCGGGCUCGAGUCAAACCUCUUCCUCCCUUCACAGCAGCAACACAUCCCCAUGCCCUAAAUCACAACCCUUGCCCUUGACGGCGUGCGAUGGUGCUGAAAACUUCUUUCCCAGCAUGUGAUUGUGACGGAUUAGCCGGUGCAUAAAUCAUAUGAAAAACGAAAGAAAGCUGUCUGGGAAUAAAACGGGCGACCCAGGGGAAAUGUGUAGUAGAGAACGGGGGUGUGCGCCUCAAGGGCUGCAGUGAAAACCCCCUGAUGAAAUGACCCCGUUUUUCAAUUUCAGAAAAAAAUCACAGACGAUAAAUUAACUCAAACCAAUCUUUUAAAAUGACCACCUCCCCCAACACUUCUUUAUCUAGCUGGCUAAUUCAUGAUGCUCCCAAUAAUCAUAAAAAUGAGAUAUACAUCCAGGGCAAAGGUCAGCGUUACAUCAUCGUAGUCAUAAAGGGAUUCUUUGACUGUUUGGCCUUUUUCUAUAAAUUCUGUCAGGACCACAGUGAAAGAUACGGAGAUAUAUCCUCCGCAGUGUUGAGAUUAGGGGACUGUAAGUCAACAUAGCCCCUCAUUUGACACUUAAGAGAAUUGUUGCAAUGUUACUGAAAAGAAAAAAAAUUAUAAUAAAUCAUCCUGCUUUUGCGAGAGUGUGAUUGAGACCCUGCAGUCUCUCACACACCGAGACUGUUUCCUGUUAGUUCGGUGGUUGAGUUUAAGUUUGUAUGUGAGAGACAGAGAGAUGAAGGGAUAGAUAGUGUUUGUGUGUGUGUGUGUGUGUGUGUGUGUGCUCGCAAGCAUUCCUAGAGAUAUUAGUGAAACUCUAGUGAGACUAUUAUGAGAGUGAGUGGGAGCAGCAGGGGUGCUGAUUGGCUAAACCGAUGCAGAGAAUUGAAGCAGGCUGUUUCUUUAGGGAUCAAUUCAUUCCCUCCUAGUCCCCGGACCGGGCACGAAACACAUGGAAACAAUAAAAACCUGAGAGUCAAACGGUAUUGCUGAACAAAAUACACGGACUCCAUGCAGGGAGAUGCACAGAGAGAUCACAGGGGAGGGAAAGAAGUCUAUUACGUUCAAAACGGGAGUUGCCGGUACCACCCGUCUGACAAGAGAAAGGCAUCCAUCAAAUCCACCUCCCACGCUCAUUUGCGACGUUGCACUCGGCUUAUACGGAGCAGCAGAAGAAGGUGUAGAUGAGAGGAGAGCUACGGCACUUUAUCCGUGACUGAUGUAAACCUGCUCCCCGGUGUGGAGGGAGCUACUGGUCCAGGCUGACAGCUUGUAGUUAACACAGGUAUCGUCUCUCAGAGAUCAAACGCAGCAGAGGUGAAUGGGGAGCGCCUCCCUGCCAUGACAUGGUAUUAUACAGCUGACAAAAGGACCACACUUAACCUUAGCCCUGAGGGCUUUAAAGAGACAAUGGUCUUGGGGUCACAGAGAGCCCUGCCAUCAUUUUUAUAUAUUUUACUUGUGCUGUAAGGAAUUCCUGCACCAACAUUAAAGAUAACACGACAGCGGUAGAGUUUUACACAUUUAAAGUAAACAUUUAAAGCACCACAAAUGAAAUUACAUUCGCUUUAUGGGGGUGGCGGCAGAUAUUUCAGAGAUGAAUAUCUUAAAAACUGGAGAAGUAAAACAAAAAUUAUCUGCAUACCACUAUGGCUAAGUGGAAAAAUGUGUUGUUUUUUUUCUUGUAACGUGGUUAACUGAUCCAUUCAAUAUCUUUGUAUACCCAUGUGAAAACGUUUUUAAAAAUGCUUUGUGUAUCAUAUUGUGAAAUCUUUGUAUUCGUUUCGGUUCACAUCAACUUUGGCUACCACCACCUGCAGGUUUGCAAAGAGAGCUCUAGCCUCGGCCUCUCAGUCUCACAUCAAGGAAGUCUACUGUAUUUUAUCCAGUCUUAUGGACUUGUUGCCUGGCAUUCAAACCUGCAAGAUGCGUGUGUAUAUGUGUGUUUGGGACCAGGUAUUGUUUGUACAACAGAGAGAAAGAAAUAGAUAUUCUACAGUAAGCUCAUUGAGACAAAUUCAUGACUAUUUGGGGAAACAGAGGGCAGCAGCGGAGUGAGGAUGAUAAGUUGGUACGUGCCUUAAUCCAUUGCCCAGCUGCAGGUCGGCUGCUAUUGCAGGAGAAGAUUUCGAUCGAUGGCAGCACCCUGGAUUAAAUUACAAAUUGAGUUUAUCGGGGCUGCUCUUCCCCUCUUUAUUUCUGCAGUGUCCCCCAGCGAGGCUCCACAGCAGGCUAUUUACGGUGCCCUCUUCCUGGCCUGGAACCAGGUGAAAUUGAUACAUUUGUCAGCCCACCAGGGAGAGAAAGAGGAAGAAGAAGGAGGAGAAAAGCAAGAACAGGGACACUUCUUAUCCCAAGACAAACAUCCUAUCUUCUAUCUUUGUCAGGCGGGACUCAAAAAAUUUGAAUUCUGCAUAUAAAGACAUGAUCAUACCUGAUCCACCACUAUAAUCAUCCCUGUAUGUGUCUUGUGAAUGGAGAUCAUGACAAACACACACAAACAUGAGUCAGUCUCUACCAACAGAUAACGAGAGAGAGUCUCAGAGUCUGGGGUUUCCACCUCUGUAUUUUCAUGCAAAUUAUAGUGAUUAAACAAGCUGAAUGAGAGCUUCAAACUACAAAACAGCAUUUCAUAAACAUUAUUUAUAAAAAUUUAUGAGGCAGAAAAUGUUUUUUUGUAAAAGACAUUUACAGGGAAAUGCCAAACGUAUGAUGAAGGCUGAGCACAAUCAGUCCAACAAAUCGUUUUGUCGAUGGAAAUUUGCUCAGAAUUUGGCUUCAGACUACAAACAUUUGACAUGUUUGUAAAAAAAGUUGUGUCUAAAAGUGUAUUAAGAGGAGGAAGGUUGUCUCACACAUGUUGCAUCAUCGUUUGUUGGCGGUGCUGAAACUAACAAUUUGUGUUUAGUGCCUGAGGACUUGAAAAUGAGAUCUCAAGGUUAAAUUUUGAAAUAAAUAAAAUUAAAAAAUGUGCUGCUAUGGCAACAACUAAAUGUUGCAUCCAGCUUAGUGAAUCUGCACAGAGGAUAUUUCCCAAUAAUACACAAUAGUAUUAAUCUCAGUUUAAUAUUAUAACAGUUUGAUUAAGUGGACAAUUAAAGGGACUGUUUUUCCCAUGUGGACUGUUUUGUUGUUGUGCAUUCAUGAAACAAUGUAAGUACCCAUUAUUUACCCGCAAAGAACAUUUCCUAUUAGAUUUUAAGGUUUUAUCGAGUUUUACCCAUUUCUAGAGGGUUAAUUGGUAUGAUGUAUUAGCUAUUAGUCGAUCCACUGCCAUGAUUCUUCAUUUUUUUAGUUCAAAUGUUGUUAAAAUGCAUAUCUUACCUUUGUCAUUAUUCAACUCUGUUAGAUUGGUGUAGUUUUAGUGAAUACAUUUGGUAUGAAGAAUAAGGGUCACUGUGUUUCACCACCCAUUGCUACAAUUUACUAGUAUGCAUCAUGUAAAACUAUAACUUCUUAAUUAUUCUUAUGUUCUGUAUAGAAAUGCUGAUGUUUUCCCAUAUAUGUUCUAUCCACAGACCACACACACAAACACAUACUCGCAAAUUACAACAAAUACAUCCCAAAUGCUUACAUAUGGACACAGACUGAGCUGGGCAUCAUUUGAA
This is a long non-coding RNA of Thunnus maccoyii (southern bluefin tuna), 3703 nucleotides long. RefSeq lists it as uncharacterized. NCBI's taxonomy places the organism in Eukaryota, Metazoa, Chordata, Actinopteri, Scombriformes, Scombridae. The record is from RefSeq and is a predicted model, not a curated record. The transcript is spliced from 3 exons.